This 31-nucleotide non-coding RNA is filed under the name Mus musculus (house mouse). Lineage: Eukaryota; Metazoa; Chordata; Mammalia; Rodentia; Muridae. The record is from RNAcentral.
UACCAGAAGGAAUAGCUGCACUUGCCUUGGU